RNAcentral lists this ribosomal RNA (560 nucleotides) under uncultured bacterium. Its description in RNAcentral is "bacterial SSU rRNA". It matches the Rfam family "Bacterial small subunit ribosomal RNA", at positions 67 to 616 of the family's 1533-position model. The record is from RNAcentral.
CGGCAGCACAGAGGAGCUUGCUCCUUGGGUGGCGAGUGGCGGACGGGUGAGGAAUACAUCGGAAUCUACUUUUUCGUGGGGGAUAACGUAGGGAAACUUACGCUAAUACCGCAUACGACCUACGGGUGAAAGCAGGGGAUCUUCGGACCUUGCGCGAUUGAAUGAGCCGAUGUCGGAUUAGCUAGUUGGCGGGGUAAAGGCCCACCAAGGCGACGAUCCGUAGCUGGUCUGAGAGGAUGAUCAGCCACACUGGAACUGAGACACGGUCCAGACUCCUACGGGAGGCAGCAGUGGGGAAUAUUGGACAAUGGGCGCAAGCCUGAUCCAGCCAUACCGCGUGGGUGAAGAAGGCCUUCGGGUUGUAAAGCCCUUUUGUUGGGAAAGAAAUCCAGCCGGCUAAUACCUGGUUGGGAUGACGGUACCCAAAGAAUAAGCACCGGCUAACUUCGUGCCAGCAGCCGCGGUAAUACGAAGGGUGCAAGCGUUACUCGGAAUUACUGGGCGUAAAGGGUGCGUAGGUGGUUAUUUAAGUCCGUUGUGAAAGCCCUGGGCUCAACCUG